AGUAAAAUAAAAAAAAAAGAAAAAGAAAAGAAAAGAAAAGAAAAGAAAGGAAAAGAAAAAAAGAAGAUAAUACAUAAAUUUUUAAUUUAAAAAUAAGUGGCUCAUUUGUAGCCACAAACCAAAUGAAAAAAAAAAAAAGAAAAGAAAAGAAAAGAGGAAAGAAGAAGAGACUAGAAGUGAAGAGAGAAACCCAUUUUUGUUUUCUCCAUUUUCUUCUCCUUCCUCUGCCGUGAAACCUCCUUUCUCCAUUUGUUUUUCUACACCGAAAUUGCUUCAAAAUUUCACCUCCAAUUAAUUCCCCAUCUUCUCUCAACACCUUUCCAAAGAAGCAUUUGAAGAAAAGAAGGGAAAUCAAAGAGAAAUUUCAAGGGUGAGGGAGAGUAAAUAAUAACUAAGGGUUUGGAAAUUUGAAAGAAGAAGUGGAAGGGAAAGGAAAAGAAAAGGAAAAUUAGGGAAUUUUAAGCUUGUGGAAGAUCUUGGGAAGGUUUGUGCUCAACUCUAUUUCAAUAAAUUCAAGAAAUGGUUAUUUAUGUUCUAUUUGAAUUUUACUACCCUAAUAGCAAGACCAAGUGAAUAAGAGAUUGAACGGAUAGAAAAUUCUAAAAUUUAUAUGUAAUUUAACUAAAAUUUAAGUUGUGGAUAUAAUAAAAUGACUCUAUUUUCUUUGAUAGAACAAUAAUUUGGUUAGAUAUAGUGACAAACAAACAAA
This is a long non-coding RNA of Manihot esculenta (cassava), 709 nucleotides long. RefSeq lists it as uncharacterized. The record is from RefSeq and is a predicted model, not a curated record. The transcript is spliced from 2 exons. Lineage: Eukaryota; Viridiplantae; Streptophyta; Magnoliopsida; Malpighiales; Euphorbiaceae.